UUGUCCUGGCCUAUGCUUUUUAUGCUCUGCUGUGCUCAGUUCUAACAGGAUGGGCUGGCAGCACACACAGCAAUCUCCUUCUCAGUUUAGGAGGGCUGUCCUAAGACUAGGGCUGGCUCGUAAAGGCACCAGUGGACAAU
This is a non-coding RNA of Prolemur simus (greater bamboo lemur), 140 nucleotides long. The record is from Ensembl. NCBI's taxonomy places the organism in Eukaryota, Metazoa, Chordata, Mammalia, Primates, Lemuridae.